AUGAAAACACUUUUUUUUUUCUUUUCCCUGAGGCUUUGGUUCCCAGCUGCAUGCUGUAAUAUGAGGCAUAUAGUGAAGUAUACACAGCAUGGUUUCUGUGGAUGGCCUGCGUGUCUUCAGCAGCGGCAGAAUCCUCUGAGGAACUGGCCUGACUCAUCUGCAUCUGUGACAGCAGGCACAGCAUGGAAAUGCCGUUGUUUGGACCAUGGCUGGAGUCUAUAAAACAGAUACCGGCAUCAGGAGAUAAGGGCUUGCUGAGCUGGUACAAAACGGCCCGUGACUGGUCUGGCAUGUGACAGGCAGCCCGACUGAUCUUCAAUAAAGCCGCAUGAUGAACACGUAUCAAUGGAGUACAUAUCAUUUGUUAAUUGAUUUGAGGGUAAUGCUGUUCAGGCUCCCUGUAAUCCUGAUUAGAGGUCCAACCCGGACCCUUUAAAUGCAUAUUGAUAUAUUGAUCGUGUAUGUUGCUCUGAGCUUUCCCAUACGAUGGGGAUCUUUACACCUCACCCUUCAGCUACUAAACAAGCCAAUGGAGAAAUUAUGCUUUUACAUAACAGCUGUUUUCUUUCAGGCUUGGGAUGAUGUCACCCUGUCAUCUCACUGUGGGUGUGUUUUUUUUUUUUGUAUUAUUUGACAGAUUUUGAUGUGGGCCGAUCAUGGGUACGCAUACACAAGAUGUUUAUGACCCGCUCCAGCUAAGCAAAGGUGGAUCUGGGUCAGUAAAACACAUUACUUUGUCACCUACAGAGAAUGUUAUAUCUAAUAUCUAAUAUAAUCUAAUCUAAUGUUGUUAAGAUGUUCACAGUAAUUGACAACUUUGGAUACAUUUUAAAUUCAUAUUAAUAUAAAGUGACUUUAGUUUUUGGUUCAUAAUAGUUUUGAUAGUGGUAUUAUCAUUUUUUGUAGUAAUAUAUGCAACCAACUGGAACAUGCCUCAAUUUUUAAGUUACAUUUUUUAUUUUGAGUUAAUAUACAGUACAGAUUAAUCUUCAUUAUUUAAAUGACAUUUUUAAUUUUUAAUUAAUAAAUGUGAGUAACAUUAAUAUUUUGAAAAACUAUUACAAUUUACAAAAAAUAAAAAAUUUCUUAUAAAAAAAUCCUUUGAAGAUCAGUGUAUUAAAUUUACCUCCAUCUUGACUUUUUAUUUUUGCCCAUGAAAUUCAAUCUUUCUUUCCUUAAAAAAAGAAUCAAAGAUAAUAAAAAUGAUAAUGCAUCAUUCAGUACUACAAAGUUUUGUGUUCAAUUAAAUGUCCUCUAAAGUGAGAAUCUCCCUGUAUUAAGUAAAAAAAAUCUUAGUUUCUUAGUCUGUUUCCAAGGAGCAGCACAGAAUUCAUCAACCUUUAGGUCAUUCGUGCACAAAAGGUCUGUUCCUCUCCAUGUAGAAGGUAUCUGCCAUUUUCACUUUGCUGUGAGACCCACAACCUUUACGCUGAUGGAAGUAUGGCAGUACAUUUCUCUUGAUCGGUCACUUUCAGGUGCAUUUGUAACAGUUGCCAGCCCAGCUUGGCAAUCAGAGCCUGGAAUCAAUGAACUUUAAUAUGAUCAGGAAAGCUAAAUUAUUAGAGUGCAUUAGUCAUACAUUGUAAAAAGCAGUUUGAUAAGGCCAUGAAGCACUGCAUAGAUGCCAAGAAUUGGUAAUGACUCUCUCAUUUACAUUUUAUCAUCCCUCCGGCAGUUGAAAAACAGAGAGAGCAAUUAGUUAAUUUGUUUAAAUAAACUCCUUAGUCUUUGCAAUUAGCAAGUAGCAGAUAAUGGGGAAUAAUUCAUCAGUUAGCGAUUAAUCGUGUCAGUAAUCUCAGUUGUUAGAUCUCAAACUACUCUUCGCAUGAUCUCACAGCGCUUUUUUGUGCUAAUUACAAAAGACAGCUUGGCUUAUAAUACAGAGCAUAUUGUAUGAGCAGGGCAUUAAGGAAUUAGACAUUUCAGUUUUGUUCACAAUUAAUGUCAAAUCAAAGAGUUAAUUACAGCUCUGUGUGAACAUCCCACUCUGAACGAAGUAUAAACUGCACAAAAGUUUUUAUUUCCUAUGUGGGUUACACAUAAAGGCUAUGUUCACUUGGAUAUUUGGUAUGGUGAUGUACAUUUGUCUUUGCUGCCAUUGAGGUUGAGAGAUCUGUACCUGUUUUACGUUCUGUAUGUGUCAAGCAGGCUGAGCAACCUCAGGAUUACAGGAUACUGUAAUUGAAAACAAGUCUAGACCAAAAGAAAGGGCUUUAAAUGUCAAGUCAAGGUCAAGUUUACAAACUCUUGUAUGUGUUGAUAACACAAGUGUAUUACUGGCGGCUGAUGCAGUACAAUGGCCGCAGUAGUGCAGCUUACUGAAAGUGAAAACAAUGUUUUCAAGUGCUGGAACUGUAGGGGAGAAGUUGGGUAAGAUGUGUUGCUCCAUUUUUCUAGCAAACAGCGUGCAUUUUUUGUCUAGAGUUCGACAUUAUUUUAUAGUACUCACCAUGCAAAGCUGCAUGUAAGAAAUCUAUUUAAUACAAGUGCAAUUUAUUUAUUCAUUUAUUUAUUUAUAAAUGGAAGGUCAAAUUUAUUUUGUUAAAGUGACUUAUAAAUAUGGACAACUCCCCA
Molecule: long non-coding RNA, 2574 nt
Organism: Cyprinus carpio carpio
Lineage: Eukaryota; Metazoa; Chordata; Actinopteri; Cypriniformes; Cyprinidae
Source: Ensembl